Peromyscus maniculatus bairdii (prairie deer mouse) is the source of this 293-nucleotide non-coding RNA. The record is from RefSeq and is a predicted model, not a curated record. Lineage: Eukaryota; Metazoa; Chordata; Mammalia; Rodentia; Cricetidae.
AGGAAAUCCAGACCCAGUGAUGACACUGUCCUGGGUGAUCUUAUCUUUGCCUCAAAAUGACCCCAGAUCCUAAGAACUACAGCAUAUCAUUAUUGCAGCAAUAACCACAAAGAGUGUCUGAUAAUGUCAAGGAUGGGGAUUUCAAGCUAAUUAUCACAUCAAGCAUUUUUAAACUUGGUUUUGGAGAUCAGAACUCAGAUCCUUACACUUGCGAGGUCCCGUUUGUAUGUGUUCAUUUUCUAUGAACUUAUUUCUAAUAGUCCCGGAGUAAUGGCUGCUAAGAAGGAACAUGG